This 497-nucleotide ribosomal RNA is filed under the name uncultured bacterium. Its description in RNAcentral is "partial 16S ribosomal RNA". It matches the Rfam family "Bacterial small subunit ribosomal RNA", at positions 28 to 507 of the family's 1533-position model. The record is from RNAcentral.
GAUGAACGCUGGCGGCGUGCCUAAUACAUGCAAGUCGAGCGAACAGACGAGGAGCUUGCUCCUCUGACGUUAGCGGCGGACGGGUGAGUAACACGUGGAUAACCUACCUAUAAGACUGGGAUAACUUCGGGAAACCGGAGCUAAUACCGGAUAAUAUAUUGAACCGCAUGGUUCAAUAGUGAAAGACGGUUUUGCUGUCACUUAUAGAUGGAUCCGCGCCGCAUUAGCUAGUUGGUAAGGUAACGGCUUACCAAGGCAACGAUGCGUAGCCGACCUGAGAGGGUGAUCGGCCACACUGGAACUGAGACACGGUCCAGACUCCUGCGGGAGGCAGCAGUAGGGAAUCUUCCGCAAUGGGCGAAAGCCUGACGGAGCAACGCCGCGUGAGUGAUGAAGGUCUUCGGAUCGUAAAACUCUGUUAUUAGGUAAGAACAAAUGUGUAAGUAACUAUGCACGUCUUGACGGUACCUAAUCAGAAAGCCACGGCUAACUACGUG